AGAUAUUUGGCCGACAUGAUGUUCAUCGCGUUCCCUUUACUCCUAGCUUUAUUUUCUCUCGUGAGUGGCAUUUCUCCAGAUGAUGAUUCGUCGACUGAACCAUUUGGCCUUUGGGUUUUCUUAGCCGUUUUUGGAAUUUCACUGGUCAUUACCUGCAUAGGCGCCUGCGCAAACUGUUUACAGAGGAAUGCAAGAAAACACCCCCAAGAUGCGACUUCUAUAAGGGGAACUGGAUUAACAAGC
Long non-coding RNA from Liolophura sinensis, 243 nucleotides. RefSeq lists it as uncharacterized. The record is from RefSeq and is a predicted model, not a curated record. The transcript has 3 exons. NCBI's taxonomy places the organism in Eukaryota, Metazoa, Mollusca, Polyplacophora, Chitonida, Chitonidae.